GAAAGGCCGGAUUUUCCGGCUGGGUGUUUACCGAGACACCCCAAUUAGG
Blautia sp. An249 is the source of this 49-nucleotide regulatory RNA element. It matches the Rfam family "S4-Clostridia ribosomal protein leader". The record is from Rfam. NCBI's taxonomy places the organism in Bacteria, Bacillati, Bacillota, Clostridia, Lachnospirales, Lachnospiraceae.